GCUGUGGUUUGGGAGCUGGGAUAUCGCUAUGUGGAAGCCCGUGGCACUUUGCUCUGGAUGCUGAACAGAGGAGGAAGAAGGGAAGAGAGCCUGGGCAGCUGGCUGGGAAAAGGCAGAGGGUGCUUUCCUGUCGCUGCCUGCUCUUGCUAAGCAUUGGGAGAAGAGGGAGAAUGUGGAAGGAGAGUGCACACCUGGGAGCUGCAUCCACUGGCUGACCAGAAAACAUUUAAUUUCCACCCUGGGCGUAGUCCAUGGCCAGCUUCCUUGUGGUGCGCUGUUUCUGUCUGCCUUUUGUCUGUGGCUGGUGGUGUCAGAGCCCGUAACUAUCUGUUUACAGUUUCAGACAGAAGCAUUAAUUGCCUUUUGAACCUCCCCUUUUCCCCUAAGACUCCCUGCUCAACUAUAUUAACUGUCUCGCUUGGUUUCUUUCUGCACAAAGAGAAAUGCCUGUCUCCCCUAAAACCUGACCACCUGCAAAUCCCCACCGUACUCUCUUAUGCAUAGGUGAUGCGAGAACAAACGUGUAGCCAGCACAUGUCUGCAUAGAGACAGGGUAUACAGGACAAGUUGU
Molecule: long non-coding RNA, 571 nt
Organism: Heterocephalus glaber (naked mole-rat)
Lineage: Eukaryota; Metazoa; Chordata; Mammalia; Rodentia; Bathyergidae
Source: Ensembl